Molecule: ribosomal RNA, 392 nt
Filed under: uncultured bacterium
Lineage: Bacteria
Description: SSU rRNA
Rfam family: Bacterial small subunit ribosomal RNA
Source: RNAcentral
UUCGGCUUAGAGUUUGAUCCUGGCUCAGAUUGAACGCUGGCGGCAUGCCUUACACAUGCAAGUCGAACGGCAGCGCGGGGCAACCUGGCGGCGAGUGGCGAACGGGUGAGUAAUAUAUCGGAACGUACCAUGGAGUGGGGGAUAAAGUAGAGAAAGUUACGCUAAUACCGCAUACGAUCUACGGAUGAAAGUGGGGGCUCGCAAGACCUCAUGCUCGUGGAGCGGCCGAUAUCUGAUUAGCUAGUUGGUGGGGUAAAGGCCUACCAAGGCGACGAUCAGUAGCUGGUCUGAGAGGACGACCAGCCACACUGGGACUGAGACACGGCCCAGACUCCUACGGGAGGCAGCAGUGGGGAAUUUUGGACAAUGGGGGCAACCCUGAUCCAGCAAUG